CUUCCCUGUGUCUACGGAUGUCGGACUGGCAGCAGCAUUCUUGGCAUGUGGCUAACAGGCAGCUGAACCAGGGAUGUUCAGCGGGGUUUGCUUUCGUGCUUUGCAGUGACUUCUCCAUAUUUCAGUUACCGCCAGUCAUUGGGGUAUAGAAAUGGCUCCCAGGAAUAUUCCAGCCUCCCACUGUGCAGAGUCCCUGGCUUGGUUGGAAGAGGUUGCCAGACUGGAAAUAAUUGUGAUAUGGAUACUUCCUAUGGUGCCCAAAAUCAGAAAAAUGUGGGUGGAGGAGGAGAAACCAGGUCUGCAGAAGUGUGUACACAGGACUUGCCCGGUUUAUGGUCAUCACUUAUCCCAAGUGCUGUCAUGGAAACCCUUC
This 373-nucleotide long non-coding RNA is filed under the name Heterocephalus glaber (naked mole-rat). RNAcentral describes it as "lncRNA (ENSHGLG00100038487.1)". Lineage: Eukaryota; Metazoa; Chordata; Mammalia; Rodentia; Bathyergidae. The record is from RNAcentral.